This 324-nucleotide ribosomal RNA is filed under the name uncultured Allapsidae. RNAcentral describes it as "SSU rRNA". The stretch from base 107 to 324 matches the Rfam family "Eukaryotic small subunit ribosomal RNA", at positions 736 to 955 of the family's 1831-position model. Lineage: Eukaryota; Cercozoa; Glissomonadida; Viridiraptoridae. The record is from RNAcentral.
GAUUUCUGGUUUGGUGCGCCUGGCCCACUGCCUUCAGGUAUGUGAGUGCCGGUGCGCGCCUGCCAUCCCUUCUAGAGAACGGCUCUGCCCUUCACUGGUGUCGGAGUCGCGAUCUAGAUCUUUUACUUUGAAAAAAUUAGAGUGUUUAAAGCAGGCUUGCGCUAUGAAUACAUUAGCAUGGAAUAAUAAUUUAGGACUUCGGUUCUAUUUUGUUGGUUUCUAGGACUGAAGUAAUGAUUGAUAGGGAUAGUUGGGGGUGCUAGUAUUCAGCGGCCAGAGGUGAAAUUCUCGGAUUCGCUGAAGACUAACUUAUGCGAAAGCAUU